UCAGUGCGAGUUAUCAUUUCGACUGUGAAUGUUCAACAUAUAUUUACGGAUCGAAAAUGAAUUUAAUUCUUUUAAUAUUUGUAUUGAUACUGGGACUGACAAAUUCCAUGGAAGACUGUAUGAUUGAAGAGGACGACGAAUGCGGAGAGUAUUGUUAUAAAAUGGCAAGGCCCCUUCUUGGAUAUUUGCCUCAAUUGCAGAAGGAGUUGCAGGAGUGCAGAAAGCGAACUCGGGAAAAUCUUAUAAUCCAAGGAAAGAAAUUCGUGGAGCAACACUUGAAAGGCUUGAGGCUGGACGGGCUAAAAAAAUUAGUGGCGGAACCGAACAUCCUUAAAAGUAUGGUUGGAUUGGAUCCAUGGAUGACCGCCUGCCUAAAGCCACCGUUAACAACAAAAUUUUGCGAAAAUAUUAAUGGGAAACACUAUUUUGUUGACUAUCUCGUACUAGGUACUUGGAAGGAAGGUGACAGUUUUUGUCACAACAUGGGUGGACAUCUGGUCAGUUUAAAAAGUGAAGAAGAGUGGAAUGCUCUUCGUUAUAAUUUAAACAUGCGUUACUCAUAUUGGACAGAUAUUGUUAGAUCCAAUGAUAAGUUUAUCUCACAUACUACUGGAAAGCCUGAUUGCUUUACAAAGUUUGCAAAAGGUGAGCCGAAUAAUUUGGGUGGAAAUGAAAAUUGUGUUCAGUUUUGGAAGUGGGGAGUUAAACCCUUCCAUAUGAAUGACAUUUAUUGUAAUCAAAAAAAUCAUUUUAUUUGUGAACGUUAUUAAUAAAAAAAUGUAUGACUAUUUAUAAAAAACGUUUAAGUUUUUAAACACUUAAGAUUCUUAUAUCGAAAUAAAUUCAUAGCGAUCAUUUAUGCAGAA
Molecule: long non-coding RNA, 866 nt
Organism: Drosophila ananassae
Lineage: Eukaryota; Metazoa; Arthropoda; Insecta; Diptera; Drosophilidae
Exons: 2
Source: RefSeq, a predicted model, not a curated record